UGCAAUAUAUUAAUUAUUGCGUGGACCUUGUGUUUAUUCUUCUAAUAGUGUGGCAUAUAUAUAUUUUUUUCUUUUUCUUUUAUGAUUCUUCAGAGUACUGGAAACAAUUUUUUUUUUUAUUGUUUAUUUAACUCUUUUGUGUGGGCAUCCAAACGUAUAUUGUACCUUGAAAGUUUUUUUAGAAUAAUUUUUUUUUUCCUCAAGAGAGGAAAGAUAUCUAUUUCUAGAUUAGAGAUAAAUAAAUAUUUGUUACAAAUUAAUUAAUUUAGGUUCAUUGUAAAGUAUAAAUAAGGUUCAAUGUCGGUUCACAAAAGGUCGAAUAUAAGUUCAAAUUUAAAAAAUAGGUCAAAUAUAGGUUCAAAGUAUAUAUAUGUUUAAUGUAAAGUUAAGAAGGUUCAGUAUAGGACAAGAAUAGGUCGCAAGUAGAUUCAAAAUAGGUCAAAUGUCGGUUCAAAAUAGGUCGAAUAUAGAUUAAGAAUAGGUCAAAUAUAAGUUCAAAGUAAUGUUAAUAAGGUUAAAAUUAGGUUCAGUAUAGAACAAUAAUAGGUCGAAUGUAGGUUCAAUAUAAUGUUAAUAAAUUAUGUUCAGUAUAGGACAAUAAUAGGUCAAAUGUAUGUUCAAAAUAGGUCAAACAUAUAGGUUCAGAAUAGGUCAAAAGUAGGUUGAAAGUAAUAUGUUAAUAAGGUUCAGUUUAGGUCCAGUGUAAUACAGGAAUGAGUCGCAAGUAGGUUCAAAAUAGGUCAAAUAAAGAUUUAAAGUAGGUUCAAUGUAAUGUUAAUAAGGUUCAGAUUAGGUACAGUAUAGGACAAUAAAAGGUCAAUAUUGUAUCGAUAAAUAGGUUAUAUAUGUUCAAAGUAGGUUCAAUGUAAAGUUAAUAAGAUUCGGUGUAUGUCCAAUGUAGGAUCCAAUAGGUCAAAUGGAGUUUCAAUAUAGGUCAAA
Long non-coding RNA from Leptopilina boulardi, 939 nucleotides. RefSeq lists it as uncharacterized. Lineage: Eukaryota; Metazoa; Arthropoda; Insecta; Hymenoptera; Figitidae. The record is from RefSeq and is a predicted model, not a curated record. The transcript has 4 exons.